AUUGAACGCUGGCGGCAUGCCUUACACAUGCAAGUCGAACGGCAGCACGGGAGCAAUCCUGGUGGCGAGUGGCGAACGGGUGAGUAAUAUAUCGGAACGUGCCCAGUCGUGGGGGAUAACGUAGCGAAAGCUACGCUAAUACCGCAUACGAUCUAUGGAUGAAAGCGGGGGAUCGCAAGACCUCGCGCGAUUGGAGCGGCCGAUAUCAGAUUAGGUAGUUGGUGAGGUAAAGGCUCACCAAGCCGACGAUCUGUAGCUGGUCUGAGAGGACGACCAGCCACACUGGGACUGAGACACGGACCAGACUCCUACGGGAGGCAGCAGUGAGGAAUAUUGGACAAUGGGCGCAAGCCUGAUCCAGCCAUGCCGCGUGCAGGAAGACGGUCCUAUGGAUUGUAAACUGCUUUUAUACAGGAAGAAACCCUCCCACGUGGGGGAGCUUGACGGUACUGUAGGAAUAAGGAUCGGCUAACUCCGUG
This 479-nucleotide ribosomal RNA is filed under the name uncultured bacterium. Its description in RNAcentral is "bacterial SSU rRNA". It matches the Rfam family "Bacterial small subunit ribosomal RNA", at positions 30 to 507 of the family's 1533-position model. The record is from RNAcentral.